GAUCCUGGCUCAGAGCGAACGCUGCGGCAGGCCUAACACAUGCAAGUCGAACGAACCUUUCGGGGUUAGUGGCGGACGGGUGAGUAACACGUGGGAACGUGCCUUUAGGUUCGGAAUAACUCAGGGAAACUUGUGCUAAUACCGAAUGUGCCCUUCGGGGAAGGAUUAUCGCCUUUAGAGCGGCCCGCGUCUGAUUAGCUUAGUUGGUUGAGGUAAUGGCUCACCAAGGCGACGAUCAGUAGCUGGUCUGAGAGGA
Molecule: ribosomal RNA, 256 nt
Filed under: uncultured bacterium
Lineage: Bacteria
Description: partial 16S ribosomal RNA
Rfam family: Bacterial small subunit ribosomal RNA
Source: RNAcentral